CAAGUACUCCCUCCGUCCGGAAUUACCUGUCAUCAAAAAUGGAUGUGUCUAGAACUAAAAUACAUCUAGAUACAUCCAUUUCAAUGACAAGUAUUUUCGGACGGAGGGAGUACAAG
Molecule: non-coding RNA, 116 nt
Organism: Triticum aestivum (bread wheat)
Lineage: Eukaryota; Viridiplantae; Streptophyta; Magnoliopsida; Poales; Poaceae
Source: Rfam